AUUGAACGCUGGCGGCAUGCCUUACACAUGCAAGUCGAACGGCAGCACGGGAGCAAUCCUGGUGGCGAGUGGCGAGCGGGUGAGUAAAGUAUCGGAACGUGCCCAGUCGUGGGGGAUAACGUAGCGAGAGUUACGCUAAUACCGCAUACGAUCUAUGGCGGAAAGCGGGGGAUCGCAGGAGCUCGCGCGACUGGUGCGGCUGGUAUCAGAUUAGGUAGUUGGGGGGGGAAAGGCUCACCAAGCCGACGAUCUGUAGCUGGUCUGAGAGGACGACCAGCCACACUGGGACUGAGACACGGCCCAGACUCCUACGGGGGGCAGCAGGGGGGAAUUUUGGACAAUGGGCGAAAGCCUGAUCCAGCCAGGCCGCGUGCAGGGUGAAGGCCUUCGGGUUGUAAACUGCUUUUGUACGGAACGAAAAGGUUUGGCCUAAUAAGCUGAGCUCAUGACGGUACCGUAAGAAUAAGCACCGGCUAACUACGUGCCAGCCGCCGCGGUAA
This 500-nucleotide ribosomal RNA is filed under the name uncultured bacterium. RNAcentral describes it as "partial 16S ribosomal RNA". It matches the Rfam family "Bacterial small subunit ribosomal RNA", at positions 29 to 523 of the family's 1533-position model. The record is from RNAcentral.